RNAcentral lists this ribosomal RNA (714 nucleotides) under uncultured bacterium. RNAcentral's name for it is "bacterial SSU rRNA". It matches the Rfam family "Bacterial small subunit ribosomal RNA", at positions 1 to 771 of the family's 1533-position model. The record is from RNAcentral.
CGCUUAGAGUUUGAUCCUGGCUCAGAUUGAACGCUGGCGGCAUGGCUAAAGCAUGCAAGUCGAACGAUACAGUGGCGAAAGGGCGAGUAAUGGCAUCGAACGUACCCCGAGGUGGGGGAUAGCUAGGGGAAACCCUGGGUAAUACCCCAUGUGCUCUCCGGAGGAAAGGCUUGUCCGCCUCGGGAGCGGCGAUGCUCCUAUCAGGUAGUUGGUGAGGUAAAGGCUCACCAAGCCUAAGACGGGUAGCGGGUGUGAGAGCAUGACCCGCCGCAUCGGGACUGAGACACUGCCCGGACUCCUACGGGAGGCUGCAGCAACGAAUAUUCCGCAAUGCGCGAAAGCGUGACGGAGCAAUGCCGCGUGUAGGAUGAAGCGGUUUCGCCGUGUAAACUACUGUCAGGGUGUAGGAAGAUCUGACCGCACCCAGAGGAAGGGCCGGCUAAACUCGUGCCAGCAGCCGCGGUAAGACGAGUGGCCCGAGCGUUAUUCAGAAUCACUGGGCUUAAAGCGUGCGCAGGCGGACCUGCAAGCGUCCCGUGAAAUCCCACGGCUCAACCGUGGAACUGCGGGGCGAACUGCUUGUCUUGAGGGAGGCAGAGGCCGACGGAACCAUAGGUGGAGCGGUGGAAUGCGUAGAUAUCUAUGGGAACGCCAAAGGAGAAGUCAGUCGGCUGGGCCUUACCUGACGCUCAUGCACGAAAGCGUGGGGAGCAA